UAUUUGAUGUUUGUGAAGAUGAAUACUCUG
RNAcentral lists this non-coding RNA (30 nucleotides) under Rattus norvegicus (Norway rat). The record is from RNAcentral. Lineage: Eukaryota; Metazoa; Chordata; Mammalia; Rodentia; Muridae.